AGUGGGGAAUCUUAGACAAUGGGGGCAACCCUGAUCUAGCCAUGCCGCGUGAGUGAUGAAGGCCCUAGGGUUGUAAAGCUCUUUCAGUGGGGAAGAUAAUGACGGUACCCACAGAAGAAGCCCCGGCUAACUCCGUGCCAGCAGCCGCGGUAAUACGGAGGGGGCUAGCGUUGUUCGGAAUUACUGGGCGUAAAGCGCGCGUAGGCGGAUUGAAAAGUCAGAGGUGAAAUCCCAGGGCUCAACCUUGGAACUGCCUUUGAAACUAUCAGUCUGGAGUUCGAGAGAGGUGAGUGGAAUUCCGAGUGUAGAGGUGAAAUUCGUAGAUAUUCGGAGGAACACCAGUGGCGAAGGCGGCUCACUGGCUCGAUACUGACGCUGAGGUGCGAAAGCGUGGGGAGCAAA
RNAcentral lists this ribosomal RNA (402 nucleotides) under uncultured Paracoccaceae bacterium. RNAcentral describes it as "bacterial SSU rRNA". It matches the Rfam family "Bacterial small subunit ribosomal RNA", at positions 353 to 772 of the family's 1533-position model. Lineage: Bacteria; Pseudomonadati; Pseudomonadota; Alphaproteobacteria; Rhodobacterales; Paracoccaceae. The record is from RNAcentral.